This is a long non-coding RNA of Capsicum annuum, 1549 nucleotides long. RefSeq lists it as uncharacterized. NCBI's taxonomy places the organism in Eukaryota, Viridiplantae, Streptophyta, Magnoliopsida, Solanales, Solanaceae. The transcript is spliced from 3 exons. The record is from RefSeq and is a predicted model, not a curated record.
UUUGGAGCUAUUACUUCCCAUCUAUAUAGAGAUAUCAAAUAUUAUUAGUGAAUGCAACUGAAAUGAUAAAAGUUAAAAAUAUAUUUGGAUAGGUCAACUAUUUAGACCUUGAUAGCUCUUUUUAACUAUUAAUUUUCAAUUUUAAGCACUUGAAUAUGAGUAUUCUGUGUUACAGUUAAGAAUUGGAGUUCAAUCACCAAGCAAGACAAAGCUCUCAACAUGUGAUCUGCGCCUCGCUUCAAGCCUUAAGAGCACCUUUCGCAACACCUCUUGAAUGCUCUUUUGAUUACAAGAUUACAUGCAUAUGUACUUUUUCAUAUUAGACUUGGUUUUAUUUAGUUUUGAAGUUGCAUAAGAUUAUGGCUUCUUGACUAAUUUUACUGUAAUUGAUCUAUCAAGUUGUAUUUGCUAAAAUGAGUACCAUCGUGUGACAAAGCAUUUUGUUUGUUUGAGAAAAUUAUGGCCUAUUUAUACCUUAAUCAAGAGCUUUUGGUCACACUAUUUAUUGUGUUGAAAGCUGAAAAUUGAAAGAUCACAAGGGUGACAAGUGUAAAUAUUUUUCAGCCGCUUUACUUCAAGGCAUUUUCACUUUCAAAAAAUUACUUCUAACAGAUGAUAUACUUUUUGAUAAUGUUACUGUAUCUUUAGAUACAGUUGUGCUAAUUUUUGCAUCUCACUUUACUACUUACAUGAAGCAAUGACAAGAAAAUUCAGAAAUUCGUGAAGUAUUCUCACAAGUGAAAAGGCACAGAAUAUCAUCGUCAUUUUUAAAUUUAAGGAUUGAAUCUGAUGUUUUUCUUUAAAAACGUCGCAUAUUUGGAGUAAAAAAGAUUUGAUGGGUGGUUGCAGGAAAUUGUGGGGUGGUGGUGAUGAAUAUGAAAAGAAGAGGCCUGCCUUUGAUUUUCAAUCACCUGAAUUAGAAACUAUUCCUGUGAAAAUUUCUAAAAUUCGACAUAUGGUACUUGAGAAAGCAUUGAGAGAGUUGAAAAGCUUUCUUAUUAUCUUAGUUGCGUGGACUCUUCAUUUUGAUGCCGCAACCAUGUAGGAUUCUUCCAAAAACACUAAUUUUGGCGAAUUCGACAUGCACUCAUUGGCAUUUUUGAUGAGUCCGAGCAACAUAGCUUAUUAUGACUUAAUUUUUAUUUUUACAGCUUCAUCUUCUGACUUCUACGAGGAGAUGCAUUAAAGCAGAGGAUUUUUCAGGUUUGUAAAACAAAGUGGAUGAUAAGACGCAUGAUAAAUCUUCAGUAGCAUUAAGCAAACGCAUGGAUGAUUUUCCUAAGGGGUGAAGUCAUGCAAGUCACAAAAAGCUAAAGGCCACUUUUGUGAGGUCUCUGAUGAUAAUGGAAAGGUUGAUAGAAACGUUGGCUUCAAAAAGAGAUCUAUUAACAAGAUUUCUAAGAAUCAGGAUCUCUUGGGGGAGGCAACGGGGAGCACUAAAGGUUAUAAUACAACUUUAAGUGGUAGAAAAUGGGGCUAAAAGAUUAUCACAGAGAGUUGCUCACUAAUGCAUGUUUUGUUGUUUCUCCAUCAACGGUUAUUAUUUGUU